CUACGGAGGGUGCAAGCGUUGUUCGGAAUUACUGGGCGUAAAGCGCGCGUAGGCGGCUGUUUAAGUCAGAUGUGAAAGUCCAUGGCUCAACCAUGGAAGUGCAUAUGAAACUGGACAGCUUGAGUACUGGAGGGGGUGGUGGAAUUCCCGGUGUAGAGGUGAAAUUCGUAGAUAUCGGGAGGAAUACCGGUGGCGAAGGCGACCACCUGGCCAGAUACUGACGCUGGGGUGCGAAAGCGUGGGGAGCAAACAGGAUUAGAUACCCUGGUAGUCCACGCCGUAAACGAUGUGAACUAGGUGUUGGGAUGGUUAAUCGUCUCAUUGCCGGAGCUAACGCAUUAAGUUCACCGCCUGGGGAGUACGGUCGCAAGAUUAAA
RNAcentral lists this ribosomal RNA (377 nucleotides) under uncultured bacterium. Its description in RNAcentral is "bacterial SSU rRNA". It matches the Rfam family "Bacterial small subunit ribosomal RNA", at positions 523 to 898 of the family's 1533-position model. The record is from RNAcentral.